This is an RNA transcript of Schistocerca piceifrons (Central American locust), 1181 nucleotides long. It is a transcript of the gene named GATA zinc finger domain-containing protein 1, with no coding region annotated. NCBI's taxonomy places the organism in Eukaryota, Metazoa, Arthropoda, Insecta, Orthoptera, Acrididae. The record is from RefSeq and is a predicted model, not a curated record. The transcript is spliced from 6 exons.
AUUCUACAAAGCAAGGAGGUUCGAAUUUCUAAACUCCUUGCAUCAAAGUGACAAUCGGUAUUUGUUUUGUUAUGGUGGAAUGUCAGAUGAUACAAUGCCGUUGGGCAUAAAGCCUGAGUGCUAUAAGUGUAAUGUAACUGAAAGUAAACUUUGGAAACAGACAGCCGAUGGCUUCGUGUGUGCCGACUGUUGUGAUUUGGUAACUAAGACCUCUUGCCCUCCCAAGAAUGAAGACAUUGCUUCACAGUCGUCGAAGUCCCAAGAAACAGCGCCACGUAUUGCAACUCGUAAGAGUACAAGAAGUACGCGGAAUUACAAAACAAGAUUAAAUCCAUACGCUCUUCCGAAGCCUCUUACUCCAAAGGGUAAAGGGAGACGUGUUAUCUUCAAGAAAACCCCAACCAAAGCACCUACGGCAGUUGCUACACCUGUGACAAGCAAUUACGUAUUUUACAAGGGUAGCUAUUUCCAGGUUGGGGACAUAGUCUCUGUGCAGGACAUUGAUGGUGGGUUAUAUUAUGCCCAAAUAAGAGGUCUCCUUACAGAUCAGUACUGUGAAAAAAGCUGUGUUCUGACGUGGCUCAUUCCUACCACUGCCAGUCCUGAUCCCAAUGAGGGAUUCGAUCCCUCAACCUACAUAAUUGAACUUCAACAACAAAGAGGAAGAACCAGCAGACCUGAAGAACAACUGCUCUUUAAAGAUCCUUUCUUGCAGGAAUUCCACUUGGUCACUGUGAGCUGCAGGACUGACUGUUGGGGAGCUAUGGGGGCCACUGUCCGGCAGGCCAUCUGAAGGUCUAGCUAUCAGGGCACUACCUAAGAACAGAUUGGCAUCUGUAAUUUUUUUGGCAUGACACCACUGCUGCCCAUGUCCAUUCCUGUGACCAACUUCGAAGCUGCUGAUCUCUCUCAUACCAGGAGGCCACGGUGCUUCUCUGCAUAAGCUGGUAGACGCAUUUCCUGUGUGCAGUCCACGACAGGAUUGUAGGUCCUGAUGAGGAGCUACCAAGACUCUUGUCGUGCAUGGAAUUUGUUAUGCAUGCGCCAUCGGAUUAUUAUAAAAAUCGCAAAUCCCCAUAUCCUUCUGUAGAUUAUGAUAGUAAUGAUCCAAAUUUCAUAUGGACUCGUCUUCCAACAUACGUUCACAAAUUGUAGUAUAUUAAUAAAAUUAUGUAAAUAUA